CCCAGAACAAUGUCAUGUUCUUUGUGAUUAAAAAUCUUUAUGUUGGAGGAAACUGAGAUCCAGGAAUGCCGGGGAGGAACUCGCUUGAGCCCUGAACGAUGGCUGUAUGGAAACACACCUAGACUCUUCUCGCUUCAAUUGCAGCUGGAUACUUGUGGAGCGUUAGAGUUUUACCUGCGUGUUGGCUUCUGAGUGCUACGUAGAGGCUGGAAUGAGUUGAGAGAAGGACAAGCCAGUUAGAGGGAAGGCGAGUCAGAGCUUUGGAGGAAAGGCACAGGAGAUGGAGACUGUUUAGUCUAGAACGGCAUAAAGGCAUGGGAAGAAAAAGAGCUGGGAAGUUUGCAUGCCCAAGGAGGUUAUUAUAGCAUUCACGGUCACAAAAAUAUCUCUGAAUGGCUACGGGGCACAAAUAAUUUUAUUAGAUCUUGCAUCUCCAUAGAUAUGACAUGUCGUAGCCAGAGAGAGUUUGCCUUGACAAAAGAGAGAUUAUUAAAGAGUCAUACGAGAUCCUGAAUGAGCCCUUGUCAUACCCUUUCACAGGAACUCUUAGAAGCAGGAUCAACAGCCACCUCUAGCUUUGCAGGUGCCUCUGGCCUUGCACUUCAGGCAUGGAGACCGACAAGAUGGCGCCGGUCGGUGUUCAGGGGCAAAACUUGAAAAUCAAGGAGCUAGCCUGGAGCCAUGGAAGACCUGUGAGGGACUGCCAUGAAGCCAACAGUUCCAGGAUGAUGGAACUCUCAGGGAGGCAGGCCAGGCCAGUGGCUGCUUGGUAUGUCUGGUUUCAUCAGCUUCAUUAGCUCCAGCAUAUUAUUCUAAAAAAAUAGGAAGCCUGUGGUGGUGUGUAGUCCCAAGAGGAGGAUAUGCUUGCUACAUUGUACAUAUGUGUAGGUGCCGCACCUCAGGCCAGGCCCUCAGACCGUUAUUAUGUGUCAAGAAGUGAGUCCUAAAAUACUGACUGGCUGCAGAGAAAACAAAUUUGCCAUCUUGUGAGCUUAUUCUUUUUUUUCUUUCCUCCUUUCUUUCUUUUUAAAGACUAAAUAAAAUUAACUGCUUCCUACUAAAUACUUGAUUU
RNAcentral lists this long non-coding RNA (1072 nucleotides) under Mus spicilegus (steppe mouse). RNAcentral describes it as "lncRNA (ENSMSIG00000030955.1)". Lineage: Eukaryota; Metazoa; Chordata; Mammalia; Rodentia; Muridae. The record is from RNAcentral.